RNAcentral lists this ribosomal RNA (414 nucleotides) under uncultured microorganism. RNAcentral's name for it is "bacterial SSU rRNA". It matches the Rfam family "Archaeal small subunit ribosomal RNA", at positions 459 to 872 of the family's 1478-position model. The record is from RNAcentral.
CAGCCGCCGCGGUAAUACCGGCGGCCCGAGUGGCGGUCACUAUUAUUGGGCUUAAAGCGUUCGGAGCCGGGUUGGGAAGUCCUCCGGGAAAUCUGGCCGCUUAACGGUCAGAAUGCCGGAGGAUACUCCCAGCCUAGGGAGCGGGAGAGGCCGAGGGGAUUCCCGGGGUGGGGGUGGAAUCCUAUAAUCCCGGGAGGACCACCUGUGGGGAAGGCGCUCGGCUGGAACGCGUCCGACGGGGAGGGACGAAGGCCAGGGGAGCAAACCGGAGUAGAUACCCGGGUAGUCCUGGCGGUAAACGAUGCGGACUUUGUGUCGGACAAGCUAUGAGCUUGUCCGGUGCCGGAGGGAAACCGUUAAGUCCGCCGCCUGGGGAGUACGGCCGCAAGGCUGAAACUUAAAGGAAUUGGCGGG